GCUAGAACACGUUGUCAACCUACCCUGAAGACGUGGAUAACCCCGGGAAACUGGGACUAAGCCACGAUAGAUCAAGACACCUGGAACGGAUCUUGGUCCAAAGGAAGGAUGAGCAUGUUCAUCUAUUUGCCUCAGGAUGGGACUGCGUCCGAUCAGGUUGUUGGUGGGGUAAAAGCCCACCAAGCCUAUAACCGGUACGGGCUUUGAGAGAAGGAGCCCGGAGAUGGACACUGAGAUAAGGGUCCAGGCCCUACGGGGCGCAGCAGGCGCGAAACCUUCGCAAUGCACGAAAGUGCGACGAGGCUACUUCGAGUGCCGUCCGCUGAGGAUGGCUUUUGUCAGGUAUAAAUAGCCUGAAGAAUAAGGGGAGGGCAAGUCUGGUGUCAGCCGCCGCGGUAAUACCAGCUCCCCGAGUGGUUGGGACGAUUAUUGGGCCUAAAGCAUCCGUAGCCUGCUCCGUAGGUCUUCUGUUAAAUUCAACGGCUUAACCGUUGAGCUGCAGGAGAUACCACGGGGCUAGGAGGCGGGAGAGGUAGACGGUACUCCAUGGGUAGGGGUAAAAUCCUCUGAUCCAUGGAAGACCACCAGUGGCGAAAGCGGUCUACCAGAACGCGCUCGACGGUGAGGGAUGAAAGCUGGGGGAGCGAACCGGAUUAGAUACCCGGGUAGUCCCAGCUGU
This 679-nucleotide ribosomal RNA is filed under the name uncultured archaeon. Its description in RNAcentral is "bacterial SSU rRNA". It matches the Rfam family "Archaeal small subunit ribosomal RNA", at positions 90 to 754 of the family's 1478-position model. The record is from RNAcentral.